ACUAAAUAAAUCAUAAAAAGGCAUAACAUUUUAUAAACAAAUCCACACAAGAUACACAUACAUAUAUAACUGUGUAAAAGUCCAAAAGUGCAUUCUCAAAAGUCUUAACUGGAACGCAGCGCCGCAAUUUCAAUAAAAAACUUCGCAUUUUCCAAUGUAGCCGUUUGGGGAAAAUUAACACGAGCGUGGUUGUUUCGUGUUAAAUAUCGAACAGAUUGUAUUCCCAACAAUAAUUGAAUGCAUUUCAUUGUCACUGCUCACUUUGCUUUCGUAGCCGCUUUGAAAAAGUGAAAUUAUUCGCAUUAUUAUUUAUAUAUACGUGUGUGCAUUUCCGUAUUUAAAAUAUUCAAAUAAUUUCUAACACAAUUAUAUGAAAAAUCAACAAAAAAAAAAAAAACCACAACUAAACACAAACAGCAAGUCACGAGAGUUUAGAUUAUUUCGUAUUUCAAUGGGGUGACUUGUGGAACAGUGCUCUCCUGAACCCGGGACCAAAAGGGACUUCAUUGACCAAAACUCAAAUUAACUUCAGCCU
This is a long non-coding RNA of Bactrocera tryoni, 535 nucleotides long. RefSeq lists it as uncharacterized. The transcript has 3 exons. The record is from RefSeq and is a predicted model, not a curated record. NCBI's taxonomy places the organism in Eukaryota, Metazoa, Arthropoda, Insecta, Diptera, Tephritidae.